RNAcentral lists this ribosomal RNA (510 nucleotides) under uncultured Desulfobulbus sp. RNAcentral's name for it is "bacterial SSU rRNA". It matches the Rfam family "Bacterial small subunit ribosomal RNA", at positions 903 to 1382 of the family's 1533-position model. The record is from RNAcentral. Lineage: Bacteria; Pseudomonadati; Thermodesulfobacteriota; Desulfobulbia; Desulfobulbales; Desulfobulbaceae.
CGCCUUGCCAGCCCGCUCAGAAACUCAAAGGAAGUUGACGGGGCCCGCACAAGCGGUGGAGUAUGUGGUUUAAUUCGAUGCAACGCGAAGAACCUUACCUGGUCUUGACAUCCCGGAGACCCUUAGGAAACUAGGGGGUGCUUCCAUCUGGAAGAAUCUGGAGACAGGUGCUGCAUGGCUGUCGUCAGCUCGUGUCGUGAGAUGUUGGGUUAAGUCCCGCAACGAGCGCAACCCUUGCCUUUAGUUGCCAGCAGUUCGGCUGGGCACUCUAAAGGGACUGCCGGUGUUAAACCGGAGGAAGUGGGGAUGACGUCAAGUCCUCAUGGCCUUUAUGACCAGGGCUACACACGUACUACAAUGGCCGAUACAAAGGGCAGCGACACUGCGAGGUGAAGCCAAUCCCGUAAAAUCGGUCUCAGUCCGGAUUGGAGUCUGCAACUCGACUCCAUGAAGUUGGAAUCGCUAGUAAUCGUGGAUCAGCAUGCCACGGUGAAUACGUUCCCGGGCCUU